RNAcentral lists this long non-coding RNA (584 nucleotides) under Fragaria vesca (wild strawberry). Its description in RNAcentral is "long non-coding RNA (FVES_LNC000364)". Lineage: Eukaryota; Viridiplantae; Streptophyta; Magnoliopsida; Rosales; Rosaceae. The record is from RNAcentral.
GAAACAACGAAUCUAGGCCAACACGACGGCGAAGAAGCUCCCCACCAAAGCGGUUCCAGCAACAGCUGCCCACCCUGGAGCGUAAGCACCGCUGGGAACGUCAGCAGCCGGCUCGGCUGCGGGCCCGGACCCGGUGCUGGGUGCAGGUGGGGAUGAGGUCGGUGUGGAGGAGAUAGGAGUCGUGGCGGGUGAAGUUGCUGGUGCAGUUGAGGUUGCAGGUGAAGGUGUAGUCGCAGUAGGUGCUGGUGCAGGUGCGGCCACGGUGGGUGUUGGUGCCGGUGUGGCUGCGGGUGGUGAGGUGGUGGGAGCGGCGGUGGGUGCAAGCUUGGGUGAAGCUGCGGGUGACUGUGCCAAACAAGAGGUGGCCAACAGACCCAAGAUCACAAACACUACUUGAACUCUUCCGAAACCCAUCUUCUUCUGAAAGAGGCAGAGAAUUUUGAAACACAGGGGAAGAGAGGAAAGCGAGGAAGAAGAAGAAGAUGAAGAGGGUUUGGGAGUGAGUGAGGGAGGGUUUCAAAAGGAGUGGAGAAUAUAAAAAGGGCUAGGAGUCCUGAAGAAAGUGGAGAGACAAUGCUUGGUAU